GAGCGCGUGUAGCAAUACACGAGCGGCAGACGGGAGUAGUAACACGUGGGAACGUACCCUUCGGUUCGGAACAACCCAGGGAAACUUGGGCUAAUACCGGAUACGUCCGUAAGGAGAAAGAUUUAUCGCUGAAGGAUCGGCCCGCGUCUGAUUAGCUAGUUGGUGGGGUAAUGGCCCACCAAGGCGACGAUCAGUAGCUGGUCUGAGAGGAUGAUCAGCCUCACUGGGACUGAGACACGGCCCAGACUCCUACGGGAGGCAGCAGUGGGGAAUAUUGGACAAUGGGCGCAAGCCUGAUCCAGCCAUGCCGCGUGGGUGAUGAAGGCCCUAGGGUUGUAAAGCCCUUUCGGCGGGGAAGAUAAUGACGGUACCCGCAGAAGAAGCCCCGGCUAACUUCGUG
This 400-nucleotide ribosomal RNA is filed under the name uncultured bacterium. Its description in RNAcentral is "bacterial SSU rRNA". It matches the Rfam family "Bacterial small subunit ribosomal RNA", at positions 64 to 507 of the family's 1533-position model. The record is from RNAcentral.